GACGAACGCUGGCGGCGUGCUUAACACAUGCAAGUCGAACGGGCCUUGUCCCCUUUUUUUUUGGGGGUGGGGUUAGUGGCGAACGGGUGAGUAACACGUGAGUAACCUGCCCCUCACUUCUGGAUAACCGCUUGAAAGGGUGGCUAAUACGGGGUGUUCUGGCCUGCUCGCAUGGGUGGGUUUGGAAAGAUUCGACCGGUUUUGGUUGUUUUGGUGGGGGAUGGGCUCGCGGCCCAUCAGCUUGUUGGUGGGGUGAUGGCCUGCCAAGGCUUUGACGGGUAGCCGGCCUGAGAGGGUGGGCGGUCACACUGGGACUGAGACACGGCCCAGACUCCUACGGGAGGCAGCAGUGGGGAAUAUUGCACAAUGGGCGCAAGCCUGAUGCAGCGACGCCGCGUGAGGGAUGGAGGCCUUCGGGUUGUGAACCUCUUUCGCCAGUGAAGAAGGUCCUGCUCUUUGUGGUGGGGUUGACGGUAGCUGGGUUAAUGAAGCGCCGGCUAACUACGUG
This 508-nucleotide ribosomal RNA is filed under the name uncultured bacterium. Its description in RNAcentral is "partial 16S ribosomal RNA". It matches the Rfam family "Bacterial small subunit ribosomal RNA", at positions 28 to 507 of the family's 1533-position model. The record is from RNAcentral.